Molecule: long non-coding RNA, 2952 nt
Organism: Centrocercus urophasianus (Greater sage-grouse)
Lineage: Eukaryota; Metazoa; Chordata; Aves; Galliformes; Phasianidae
Exons: 4
Source: RefSeq, a predicted model, not a curated record
GGGAGCGGCGCCGCGAGCCGGGCAGGAGAGCGUGGCAGCGUCCCGUACGGCCCGGUUUGUAUUUAUGUGGAUGCCAUUGUCAAGCACAAGUGGGAUCUGCGGCAGCUCAGGCACCUGCGGGAGCUGUCAACACAGGGAACAGAGGGUUUCCCACUGCGCCUUACUCUGCCUGGGAUUUCGGUGGUGGCAAAGGUCAUCCUGGAAGUGCAGACACUGAAAAUCAUGGGAACACGUAUCAGAACACUCAAGUGGCCAAUUGCAAGAGAGGGACUUUUUCCUCCCCUUUCCUGUUCCCCGUGAUUAAUAAGCUAACAUAUGUGGCAAGGGAAUAAGGCAGGAGCACAUGAAGAGCAGGUACAUCCCUUUCUUUGUGGUAAGUGAAGAUUUUUUCAGUUACGUUGAAGACAGGCAGGUACCUACUUCACCCUAAAAAAAAAAAAAAUAAAUAAAAAAAUUCAGCUAGUUCAGUCUAAUCGUUCCAUUUUAUUCUUUGGCGUGCUCAUGGCUACGUGUACCACAGAGCACUUCUGCCUUAGUCAGAACAGUCUUUAUAAAAAAAGUAACCGUACUGAGCUAAUCAUUCCUCUGCAAAAUUGAUGCAUCACUUGCUUCCCACCCCACAGAAGUAAACAUGGUUGCUACCAGUAUCUUUGGGACAUACCUUGAAAUGCAAACAGAGUCGGUUACAAGUCCUCCUACACAGUUUUGCUUCAGCAAGGUGAUAAAGUGAAAGGCAGGUCUACAAAAGAGCCUAUUUUACUAAUAUAAUUUUAAAACAUACCAUUUAAGUUGCACCAAAUUGAGUUAGUAGGUAGGCAUGUUGAGGCAUUGCCUUAAAUACAAGCGAAGUAAAGCCCUAUCCCCACAAGGAGAUAGUUCUCUGCAUUUCUAUGAAAGUAAAAGCUAAGCAUUUUCAUUUGUUAGUUUCCUAUUACACUUUCUCCCCCCAUUAGUAAUUGGCAAAGGUCACCAAGAGCACCAAUGUUACUCCUUUUUGACUGUCUGUUGAGGUUGCAGGUACUGCAAAACAGCUCUAGCACAUACAGGACACAUACUUGGAUGGACACUCACCACAGGAACAUUUCACCUCCAGCUGCUUACCCAAGCCCUUUCAGAAGGUAAAACCCUUUACACUCUGUAGUGCACAUUAAGUGACUGCACAGAGCAACUUAAGCCCCAGACAAAGGCUUCAUUAAACACACUUUACCCAAGAGGUAAAGUGAACUGUACUUUACCUUUAGGCAGAACACAGGGCCAAGAAGAGCUGGCUUCGCUAGCUUCCACCUCUCUUCCAGCCUAGAAGGAUCAUUACCACACAGGAGCCACUCCAGCACCCAGCUUCACAAGAGCCCAGCUACCAACCAAGGAUGUUGAAUAUCCUCCCAGAACACCAGCUGCACCAGGACCUGAAGAAAAAAAGAGCUCUGCAGUGUUGGAACUCACCAAGGCAGACAACAGGUUGCCCCAGUACAGGAAAUAGAACUAGGGACUCCAGAUUCCCCACACAGGAGGACAGGCAGAACUUCUCACCUCUCCCUCCGUCAAUUCCAUCCCUCCAGGAGAGCACCUGCCACACACCACCAGGCUGAAAGGAAAGCACAGUGAAGCUUCGUGUCAAGCAAGGACCCAAACAGAAGGGGCUUUUGUCUGUUAGCACCCAGUCCUACCCUUCAAUUCCAUCCCAGGAAUACAGGUCAGACACAAAAGGACACAACUCACUUCAGUCCAUCCCUCCAUAGCACCCUUCUCCAGCCCUAAACAUGCAGGAAGGGCACCAAGGGGCCACCCAGGUGGGAGGCCCCACACCAAGGCAGACAGCACUCAGGUUUGAAGGCUCACAUCUUUCAUUCCAACGCUGAAGAAACCGCUCGCAUAUUCAGGCCAAUCGCCAGCAAAAACGGCUUCACUGCUGCCCUCACCCCACAGCAAGAUCAGAACCAGAGCUGUAGGACUGAAAAGGGCUCUCCGGAGAUCACCGUACUCCCAGAGAAGGAUGCUAGGCAGUCGUUGAUCUCUCAUCUGUUCCUCAGAAAGAAGACGCUCCCGCACCCCCAUCGUCUUCACCGCUCUCUGCCAGACUCCGCAAACGUCCUGUCUUCCUCGACCUGCAGAGUCCAGAAGCAGAUACGGCCCCGCCGGGGCACGUGGAACAAGGACGGUCCCCUCCCUCGCCCUGCCGCCCGCGUUCCUUUUAACUCACCCCAGGAUAACAUCGGCCACGAGGCGCGCGGCCCGCCCGCAGUACCUCUCACCCGCCGGGAACGCACAGUCUUCUUCGGGUGCCGCGCCUGUCAUACGGUUCUUCCCCGCAGCGGUGAGGCCAACUCCAGCUGCGUGAAGAAGGUCUUACCGACUUUCUCGUCCCGCUCUGUAACGGACGCCCCUAGGACGUUUGCCGCAUUACCCGCUGCCGAGCGCUCCUCCGCUCGCCCCCGGGCUUCCUCGCGUGAACCGCCGCGUCUGUCUGUCCUGAAAAGAACAUCGCCAGCCACACGAGCUGCCGCGAAUGGUAUUCCUGAAGUUACACGUAACUGGGGGAGAGGAAGGAGUGCACGCACGGCCCCGUCCUACUCGCUGCUAACACCGGACGCGGGAUGUGCUGAAGUGCCCUCGAAACCCUCUGCGGGGACCGCGGCGGCCCAGUGCCGAUCCUUCUAAAAGGCUGUGCGAGAGCCCGGCAACGGCCCCGUGCCGAGCCUAAGAAAUUGAGGUAGCCGAACAGCUGCGCUACGCAAAACCCGAGCGCAGAGCGCUUACCUGGCACCCCGAGCGCUCGCCGGAUCGGGCCGACAAGAGGCUCCGCCGCGGCCCUCGCUCCGCCUGCGAAAACGUAAACUUAAGUGUUAGCAGCCCUUCGCGUCGCGUGUCACCCUCACCAGCACAAAGGCUGGAACAGUACGGCCCCGUCCCGCUCGCUCCCGCCGAUGACGGCGGAAGGAACCGAAGCGACCG